RNAcentral lists this ribosomal RNA (408 nucleotides) under uncultured bacterium. Its description in RNAcentral is "partial 16S ribosomal RNA". It matches the Rfam family "Bacterial small subunit ribosomal RNA", at positions 28 to 526 of the family's 1533-position model. The record is from RNAcentral.
GACGAACGCUGGCGGCGUGCCUAAUACAUGCAAGUCGACCUUAGUGGCGAACGGGUGAGUAACACGUGGGUAACCUGCCCAUCAGAAGGGGAGAACACUUGGAAACAGGUGCUAAUACCGUAUACUGAUGUAUGGACCAGCGGGGGAUUAGCUAGUUGGUGAGGGAACGGCUCACCAAGGCCACGAUGGAUAGACGACCUGAGAGGGAGUUCAGCCACAUUGGGACUGCGACACGGCCCAAACUCCUACGGGAGGCAGCAUUAGGGAAUCUUCGGCAAUGGACGAAAGUCUGACCGAGCAACGCCGCGUGAGUGAAGAAGGUUUUCGGAUCGUAAAACUCUGUUGUUAGAGAAGCGGUAUCUAACCAGAAAGCCACGGCUAACUACGUGCCAGCCGCCGCGGUAAUUC